Molecule: long non-coding RNA, 1082 nt
Organism: Clupea harengus (Atlantic herring)
Lineage: Eukaryota; Metazoa; Chordata; Actinopteri; Clupeiformes; Clupeidae
Exons: 4
Source: RefSeq, a predicted model, not a curated record
CAGUGAUGAGAAUGACUAGCACACUUAAUGCAGUGAUGAGGAUGACCAGCACACUUAAUGCAGUGAUGAGGAUGACCAGCACACUUAAUGCAGGGAUGAGGAUGACCAGCACACUUAAUGCAGUGAUGAGGAUGGCAGGAGUGCAUGUUGCUCCCCAACACCUCCUCCUCUUGCCACAUGAUAGAGAGAUGAACUAAGCAGAAACGUCAUCAGCCUCCGUUUCCUGUCAGCAUUCUCAGUUCCUCAGAAGCUUCACUGUAGCCACAGAUGCCUAGACUGGGGGCCUGUUUCUGCAGGGUGUGGUGCCCAUACUGAACCACCAUGACAGGAAUCCCUCUUACCCUUCUGCUCUUAUGCACUGCUGGUCUUCAGGCUCUAAGUAUAACCUACACUCCUAAGGAGAUCUGUGUGCUCAAAGGGUCCAAAGUGCGCCUUCAGUGCACUUACACUCUUCCAGCAAGAGACCGUUUCAAAGCAGGUUAUUGGUAUAAAAAUGAUUCCUUGGUACCAAGCAGGGAUUCCAAUGGAAAUAUUCAGCACAAUACGGCCUCUCCACAAUGUUUACUGUGGAUACACAACCUGACACCUCAUGACUCAGGAUCUUAUGAAUACAGAGUCAAAAUUCAACACACAACCAUAACAGGGCCAGGUAGAGCCGCUGUCCGUGUCGUAGCUACUGCACAGAAGGGCUGUUGGGGAGUGUCCUACUCGUCGACCAGCUUCUGUGCCUUGAGGGGCUCAACACUGGACAUUCCCUGCACGUACGGACACCCCAGAGAUCAUACAGUCAUCAAAACAUUGUGGCACAAAGAAGGUGAGAAGGGUAAGGAUCAUAUUGACCUGCGUCUGGAGCAGCAGUAUCGGGGCAGAGUGGAGCAUCUCGGUACUGAGAAUGACUGCACUUUGAGAAUCAGAGACGUGAGACAGACUGACUCAGGACAAUAUACAUUCAGAUACACCACCGACAAACCAGGAGGGAAUUUCUCAGGAGUCCCGGUGACAAUCGCUGUCACAGGUAACUAUGUCAAUGAAUUAAUAAAAUACAAUGGAGAAUUUUAAAACUCCUGCGUUUUAAUUGCACU